UAAAUUUUUAUUUAUCUAUUUAUUUAAUAUCAUUAUCAUGCAUCACAAUAUAAAAUACCCAAAUGAAACCAGACCCACUCUGCUCCAUCAAGUGUGUACAAAUGCCAAAGAAAUUGUUAUAUUAAUAAGUUUUUAGUCCGCUUUACAAGUAAAAGGAGGAAAAGGAUCUGCAUCAUGGGUAAGGUAUCAUUUGUUAAAUAUUCCAAUUAUACAAAAUAACUGACAGCGCUGAGGAUUCUUUUAAAUUUCUUGAUACCAGUUCCCAGACCAGCUGUUUUAGAAUUUAGAAAAUCAAUUCUGUACUAAGAUACAUGUCUAAAAAUUUUAAUAUCCUUAGGUCUUAAAGGAAUAUUUAUUUUGCUCAAUAUUAAACAUGGUGCUGUCCAUUACUUGGACCAAACUUAAAAAUAAAUUUAUAUAAUUUCAUAAAAUGUAUGAAUCCUCAGUUUGUCACAUACAAGUAGGCAUUUACAAAUAUAACAAGAAAUACAAUGGUAAAUACCAAAAUAAAAAAUGCAUAAAAAUACAUUAAUCAAAUUC
RNAcentral lists this long non-coding RNA (540 nucleotides) under Mytilus galloprovincialis (Mediterranean mussel). The record is from RNAcentral. Lineage: Eukaryota; Metazoa; Mollusca; Bivalvia; Mytilida; Mytilidae.